Molecule: RNA transcript, 1123 nt
Organism: Rosa chinensis
Lineage: Eukaryota; Viridiplantae; Streptophyta; Magnoliopsida; Rosales; Rosaceae
Gene name: UDP-N-acetylglucosamine 1-carboxyvinyltransferase 1
Exons: 4
Source: RefSeq, a predicted model, not a curated record
UCAAGUAAAUUUCUGUGAUACACAAGGAUGGCAAAGUUCAGGCAUAUGCAUUAAAUGGAAGAGGAUUGGUUGGGGGAAGUUUCCAACUUGAUUACCCUAGCGUUAGGGCAACAGAAACCCUUCUGAUGGCUGCAUGUAUGGCUGAUGGAACAACUAUACUGUCCAGUGUUGCCAGAGAACCAGUGGUUGAUCUUGCUCGAUUUCUGACUAAAAGUGGGGCCUGUGUGGAAGGAGCAGGAAGCAACAAAGUUUGUCAUCAAGGGAAAAUCUUAUUUUCAUGGUUGUAAAUGUACUAUUGCACCUGAUCGUAUUGAAGCAGGCACGUUUUUGCUUGCUGCAGCUAUUGCUCGCUCAUUCAUUUCAAUUUCACCCGUCAUUCCUUCCCAAGUUUCCUGUCUGAUGCAAAAACUCUUGGCCGCUGGUUGCAAAAUAAGGCAAUGCUCUCAUGAUACCUUGGAAUAAACGAACUGCGGAAGCUUGGAGCAAAAAUUCAAGUCUGUGCAAGCUCUGCUCUGGUUUUCGGGAAAGAUAAUAGAAGUGGUUUGUCUGGUUCCUGCCUUGCUGCAACUGACCUCAGAGGUGGGAUAUCAUUGGUAUUAGCUGCAUUGGCUGCAUAAGGUACUACUGAGAUCAGCAGUGUUGCUCAUAUUGACCGUGGUUAUGAGAAUGUAGAUACACAACUUCAUAUGCUGGGAGCCGAUAUCAAAAGAUUAACGGCCCCUGCUUCUUCCUAGUGGAACAAGUACAUAAUUCUUCCCAUUAUAAUUUCUUAUCUUUCUGGACGAUUGGACCCAUUGUGACUGACGAGGAUUUUGACAAAACUACUCUUUCGCUUGCUAAAUAUCGUGUUUCAAAGCCAGGCUAAGAAUGGGUUGUGAGACAGGUGACAGGGCUAUACAUACACAUCAGAGUGAAGAAGAUUCUAAGAUGGUUAUAGUAGUGUCACAGGUUAAAGGUCCUUAGUUUCUUCAUAGCUGUACAGUGGAAACCCCCAAACCUACAUCAUUCAAGGCUUCAUCACCCUUCUCCAUAUAAGCCCAUUCAGAAAUUCGAUCUCAAGUUCAGCUAUUGACAAAGCUGUAUUUUUGGGAGAUAGAGGUGCCUGCACAUCCUUGAUCUAUUU